UGCAAGUCGAACGAGAAGCUCACUUCGGUGAGUGGAAAGUGGCGGACGGGUGAGUAAUAUGUAGAGAAUCUGCCCUAGAGAGAGGGACAACAGAGGGAAACUUCUGCUAAUACCUCAGUAUGCGCGUAGCUGAGAUGCUAUUCGUGAAAACUCCGGUGCUCUAGGAUGAGUCUGCAGUCUGAUUAGCUAGUUGGCGGUGUAAAUGGACCACCAAGGCGACGAUCAGUAGCUGGUUUGAGAGGAUGAUCAGCCACAAUGGGACUGAGACACGGCCCAUACUCCUACGGGAGGCAGCAGUAGGGAAUUUUGCGCAAUGGGCGAAAGCCUGACGCCAGCAACGCCGCGUGAUUGAAGAAGCCCUUCGGGGUGUAAAGAUCUGUCAGUGGGGACGAAACUUGACGGUACCCACAGAGGAAGCACCGGCUAACUCCGUGCCAGCAGCUGC
Molecule: ribosomal RNA, 445 nt
Filed under: uncultured bacterium
Lineage: Bacteria
Description: bacterial SSU rRNA
Rfam family: Bacterial small subunit ribosomal RNA
Source: RNAcentral